GUCGACAUUUUAAUUUAAUAAGAAGAUUGUCAAUGUCUGGCUGUUUCAACUCAAUUACCGAUGGGAACCAAGUAUCUACCAUGUUGGCAAAAGAAACUCCAAACAUAAAAAUCCUCUAUUUUACCGCACCUUGGUGUGGUCCCUGCAGGCAGUUUAGUCCUGUCUUUGAGGAGUAUCAUCGGAAUAAUUCAUUUUUUGACGUGGCCAAGAUUGACAUUGAUAAUUUUUCUGCUUUGGCAGAAACAUAUGAGAUAACAAGCAUUCCGACGGUCAUUAUCUUUAAGGGUAAAGACAAGGAGAAAACCAUUAUUGGUGCUACUGUCGACAAAGUCAAAAAGGCGUUAGAAAACUACUCUUAAAUUAAUUUUUAAGUUUUUGAUCACUUGGUUUCAUA
Molecule: long non-coding RNA, 394 nt
Filed under: Octopus sinensis (East Asian common octopus)
Lineage: Eukaryota; Metazoa; Mollusca; Cephalopoda; Octopoda; Octopodidae
Description: uncharacterized LOC115230964, transcript variant X2
Source: RNAcentral